GCGGGUGGUAGGUAAGGUAUCUUGCAGGUCUCAUAAACCUGAGAACUAAGUUCAAUUCUUAGACUCCGCA
Molecule: transfer RNA, 70 nt
Filed under: Coprococcus phoceensis
Lineage: Bacteria; Bacillati; Bacillota; Clostridia; Lachnospirales; Lachnospiraceae
Also listed under: 3 other names
Description: tRNA-Leu
Rfam family: tRNA
About the family: Transfer RNA (tRNA) molecules are approximately 80 nucleotides in length. Their secondary structure includes four short double-helical elements and three loops (D, anti-codon, and T loops). Further hydrogen bonds mediate the characteristic L-shaped molecular structure. tRNAs have two regions of fundamental functional importance: the anti-codon, which is responsible for specific mRNA codon recognition, and the 3' end, to which the tRNAs corresponding amino acid is attached (by aminoacyl-tRNA synthetases). tRNAs cope with the degeneracy of the genetic code in two manners: having more than one tRNA (with a specific anti-codon) for a particular amino acid; and 'wobble' base-pairing, i.e. permitting non-standard base-pairing at the 3rd anti-codon position.
Source: RNAcentral